UAGGGAAUCUUCGGCAAUGGACGAAAGUCUGACCGAGCAACGCCGCGUGAGUGAAGAAGGUUUUCGGAUCGUAAAACUCUGUUGUUAGAGAAGAACAAGGACGUUAGUAACUGAACGUCCCCUGACGGUAUCUAACCAGAAAGCCACGGCUAACUACUUGCCAGCAGCCGCGGUAAUACGUAGGUGGCAAGCGUUGUCCGGAUUUAUUGGGCGUAAAGCGAGCGCAGGCGGUUUCUUAAGUCUGAUGUGAAAGCCCCCGGCUCAACCGGGGAGGGUCAUUGGAAACUGGGAGACUUGAGUGCAGAAGAGGAGAGUGGAAUUCCAUGUGUAGCGGUGAAAUGCGUAGAUAUAUGGAGGAACACCAGUGGCGAAGGCGGCUCUCUGGUCUGUAACUGCCGCUGAGGCUCGAAGCGUGGGGAGCAAACAGG
RNAcentral lists this ribosomal RNA (428 nucleotides) under Gemmatimonadota bacterium. RNAcentral describes it as "Gemmatimonadetes bacterium partial 16S ribosomal RNA". It matches the Rfam family "Bacterial small subunit ribosomal RNA", at positions 355 to 776 of the family's 1533-position model. Lineage: Bacteria; Pseudomonadati; Gemmatimonadota. The record is from RNAcentral.